RNAcentral lists this ribosomal RNA (940 nucleotides) under uncultured bacterium. RNAcentral describes it as "bacterial SSU rRNA". It matches the Rfam family "Bacterial small subunit ribosomal RNA", at positions 65 to 979 of the family's 1533-position model. The record is from RNAcentral.
AACGAGGAUAUAUCCUUCGGGAUAUAAGCCGAGUGGCGAAAGGGUGAGUAAUGCACAGACAACCUGCCUUUAGGAUAAGAAUAACUCUGUGAAAGCGGGGCUAAUACUUAAUAAUACAAAGGAAAGGUUCUUUUCUUUGUUAAAGAAGGGUAUGUAAAUACCUUGCGCCUAAAGAGGGGUUUAUGUCCUAUCAGCUUGUUGGUAGGGUAACGGCCUACCAAGGCGAAGACGGGUAGCCGGCCUUAGAGGGUGGUCGGCCACACUGGAACUGAGACACUGUCCAGACUUCUACGGAAGGCUGCAGUCGAGAAUCUUUCGCAAUGCCCGAAAGGGUGACGAAGCGACGCCGCGUGGAUGAAGAAGGCCUUCGGGCUGUAAAAUCCUGUCAGGAGUUAAGAAAUGUAAGUUUGAGAAUACCAAAUUUACCUGACAAAAGCUCCAAAGGAAGCCACGGCUAACUCUGUGCCAGCAGCCGCGGUAAUACAGAGGUGGCGAGCGUUGUUCGGAAUUAUUGGGCGUAAAGAGCACGUAGGUGGAUUUGUAAGUCAGAUGUGAAAGCCUUCUGUUCAACGGAAGAAUUGCAUCUGAAACUGCAAACCUUGAGUAUAGGAGGGGAGAGUGGAACUUCUGGUGGAGCGGUGAAAUGCGUAGAUAUCAGAAGGAACGCCGGCGGCGAAAGCGACUCUCUGGCCUAUUACUGACACUGAGUGUGCGAAAGCUAGGGGAGCAAACGGGAUUAGAUACCCCGGUAGUCCUAGCCGUAAACGAUGGGCACUAAGUAGGGGAAACUACCGAUGUUUUCUCUGCCGUAGCAAACGCAUUAAGUGCCCCGCCUGGGGAGUACGGCCGCAAGGCUAAAACUCAAAAGAAUUGACGGGGGCUCGCACAAGCGGUGGAGCAUGUGGCUUAAUUCGAUGCAACGCGAAAAACCUUACCGGGG